GGUCGGAAACCCCGGUUUCUAGACGAAAAAGAGGGCGCCGCAAGGGGCUCUCACCACGAGAUGAGUCCGCGGCCAUCAGCUAGUUGGCGGUGUAAUAGACCACCAAGGCUAAGGACGGGUAGCUGGUCUGAGAGGAUGACCAGCCACACUGGGACUGAGACACGGCCAGACUCCUACGGGAGGCAGCAGUGGGGAAUAUUGGACAAUGGGCGAAAGCCUGAUCCAGCCAUGCCGCGUGAGUGAUGAAGGUCUUCGGAUCGUAAAGCUCUGUGGGAAGGGACGAAAAAGCCUAACCUAAUACGUUAGGUCUUGACGGUACCUUCUUAGCAAGCACCGGCUAACUCCGUGCCAGCAGCCGCGGUAAUACGGAGGGUGCAAACGUUGCUCGGAAUUAUUGGGCGUAAAGCGCACGUAGGCGGUCCGCUAAGUCGGAUGUGAAAAGCCCUCGGCUUAACCGAGGAAGUGCAUCCGAAAACUGACGGGCUAGAGUACGGAAGAGGGUUUCGGAAUUCCCGGUGUAGAGGUGAAAUUCGUAGAUAUCGGGAG
Molecule: ribosomal RNA, 546 nt
Filed under: uncultured bacterium
Lineage: Bacteria
Description: bacterial SSU rRNA
Rfam family: Bacterial small subunit ribosomal RNA
Source: RNAcentral